CAUUUUGUAUUGAAGUGUAUAUGUAUGGUGUUAUACUUUUAAAGAUUGGUCCCAUAACAUGAUUAUCUUUGGGGAGUGGAGUGUUGAACCUCUUCAAAUGGAACAUGGUGUGGUGGUGGUAGUAGCAUUCUGUGCGGCCAUUUUAAUUCCUGUCUACUUUCUUCUGAAGGUGCAUUAUGUAGUUACAUUUAUUCAUUACAUUUCACCCAUAGUGACUUAAAGACAUCAAUUCUGUAGCAAAAGACACUGUCCUCUGUGCAACUUAUGGUUAAAUGCCUUGCUCAAAUGCAUGACGGUGGAAGCCUGGAAUUGAACUCACAACUACUGUAUGUUAGCCCAACUCUUUAACCACAAUGUUACCACCACUCCAUUAGCUUUGGGAAGUGGAAAGUUGAACUCCUUUAAAAUGGAACAUGUUGUGGUGGUGGUGGUGGUGGUGGUAGUGUAAUGUGUGGCCAUUUUAACUCCUGGUCCAACUGUAAUACUCACAAGAAAACUACCAUGAUCUUUUGGGGGCUACCAAAAGACCCUGCUCACCAAAAGGGCUUUGACUCGUGUAGAUCAUCACUCUUACACUUUCAGUUUCACUUUGGAGUGAGGAUGUUACUGCGCCGAGCCGAAGUGUUCCCAAGUGCUAGUCCGCCACACAUUAUAGUUAUCCCUCUUAGGCUACCUGCUUAGAAAAGCACCAAGUUUUAUCUAGUUUUAUUUCACCAUACUUGGCCAUGUGACUACUCGUGGAGCUGCAGUUUAAUAGGGAAAAUAUGGAGGUGUUUGGUCGCUUCUAACUUCAUCUCUGUUUGGAUCCUAAUGAAUGAACUGGGCUAGCUAAGUGCUAUCAAAGUAGCGCCGCGCACCAGAGCCAGUGCAUGCACUGAAACGCAAUCAGGUAUGUAUCAACUUGUCUUAGUUAAGGGAAUAACGUAGUUUAAUAUGAAAAAACGGUGGAGUGUUCCUUUAAGUGAAGCCAUAAUGCUCUGCUAAUAUUGAUUAGCCUACUGUUGGACUGUGGAUCGGCAACCAACCUGCCCCGUGGUAUGACUGCACUUUACUCUCUUAGCCUACUGCUGUCUGACCGCACAUGCUGAAUAAAGCUGACAUCCUCCACGCUUUUCAGAGGAAGACGCUUCUGCAGACUGAACUCAGAUACUCACCAAAUCUCAAAGAAGUCUCGUCAUGUCUAAGCUAGUUUUCAUCUCAUUCUUCCUGGCAGCACUUGUCAUCAGUGUUGAGGCCCGCCGUAUCGAGACACGAGAUUGGUUCUCUGACAUGAUAUCAAUGUAUGAACAGGCCAAGGAGAUGAUUGGCGAGACAUUUGGUCAAGAGAAAGUUAAAGCUGCAUUUUUGACAGCAGAACAAACAGGAGUACAAAUAAUGUUUGAUACAGCUAACCUUGUGAGGGACAUCUUCAGACUUUGAAAAGCUUCACUAUCUGUGACCUCUUCAUUAAUGUGGAGCCAACCACACCACUUGUCAUCAAUCUUACAAAGCCCUUUUAUUAUGAAUAUGCUAGAGGGCCGAGCAAAAUAUGUUUCUUUUCUUCACUUGUA
Molecule: long non-coding RNA, 1550 nt
Organism: Sardina pilchardus (European sardine)
Lineage: Eukaryota; Metazoa; Chordata; Actinopteri; Clupeiformes; Clupeidae
Exons: 5
Source: RefSeq, a predicted model, not a curated record